RNAcentral lists this ribosomal RNA (429 nucleotides) under Chloroflexota bacterium. RNAcentral describes it as "Chloroflexi bacterium partial 16S ribosomal RNA". It matches the Rfam family "Bacterial small subunit ribosomal RNA", at positions 355 to 776 of the family's 1533-position model. Lineage: Bacteria; Bacillati; Chloroflexota. The record is from RNAcentral.
UGGGGAAUAUUGCACAAUGGGCGCAAGCCUGAUGCAGCCAUGCCGCGUGUAUGAAGAAGGCCUUCGGGUUGUAAAGUACUUUCAGCGGGGAGGAAGGGAGUAAAGUUAAUACCUUUGCUCAUUGACGUUACCCGCAGAAGAAGCACCGGCUAACUCCGUGCCAGCAGCCGCGGUAAUACGGUGGGUGCAAGCGUUAAUCGGAAUUACUGGGCGUAAAGCGCACGCAGGCGGUUUGUUAAGUCAGAUGUGAAAUCCCCGGGCUCAACCUGGGAAAUGCAUCUGAUACUGGCAAGCUUGAGUCUCGUAGAGGGGGGUAGAAUUCCAGGUGUAGCGGUGAAAUGCGUAGAGAUCUGGAGGAAUACCGGUGGCGAAGGCGGCCCCCUGGACGAAGACUGACGCUCAGGUGCGAAAGCGUGGGGAGCAAACAGG